AUACGUAGGGUGCGAGCGUUGUCCGGAAUUACUGGGCGUAAAGAGCUCGUAGGUGGUUUGUCGCGUCGUCUGUGAAAUUCCGGGGCUUAACUCCGGGCGUGCAGGCGAUACGGGCAUAACUUGAGUACUGUAGGGGAGACUGGAAUUCCUGGCGUAGCGGUGGAAUGCGCAGAUAUCAGGCGGAACACCGGUGGCGAAGGCGGGUCUCUGGGCAGUAACUGACGCUGAGGAGCGAAAGCAUGGGUAGCGAACAGGAUUAGAUACCCUGGUAGUCCAUGCCGUAAACGGUGGGCGCUAGGUGUAGGGGUCUUCCACGACUUCUGUGCCGUAGCUAACGCAUUAAGCGCCCCGCCUGGGGAGUACGGCCGCAAGGCUAAAACUCAAAGGAAUUGACGGGG
This 398-nucleotide ribosomal RNA is filed under the name uncultured bacterium. RNAcentral's name for it is "partial 16S ribosomal RNA". It matches the Rfam family "Bacterial small subunit ribosomal RNA", at positions 523 to 918 of the family's 1533-position model. The record is from RNAcentral.